RNAcentral lists this ribosomal RNA (658 nucleotides) under Temorites brevis. RNAcentral describes it as "eukaryotic LSU rRNA". It matches the Rfam family "Eukaryotic large subunit ribosomal RNA", at positions 87 to 667 of the family's 3401-position model. The record is from RNAcentral. Lineage: Eukaryota; Metazoa; Arthropoda; Copepoda; Calanoida; Bathypontiidae.
UGGCGAUGAACGGGAUAGCCCAUCGCGAAACUGCAGGUCAUCUUGGCCUGGCGGCAUGUCGCGUUCGGGAGAGUCUUAUCGAGAACUGGUCAGCCAGUCAAAGUCCAACUUGACAGUGGCCACAGCCCACAGAGGGUGAUAGGCCCGUAAGGCGGAUGACCGUUCUUGCUGACUUUUCCCCAGAGUCGGGUUGCUUGGGAGUGCAGCCCAAAGUGCGAGGUAAACUUCUCGUAAGGCUAAAUAUGACCCCGAGACCGAUAGCAAACAAGUACCGUGAGGGAAGAUUGAAAAGAACUUUGAAGAGAGAGUUCAAUAGUACGUGAAACUGUGUGGUGGUAAACGGAGGGGUUCUUGAAGUUUCUGUGGGGAACUCAACCUUGGUGGUUGGUGGCCCGGCUGUAUUUGAUCAGCAAUGACUUUGCAGCUGGUUCGGCCUGCCUCCCGGGUGCAUUUCCCCCGCAGUUUACGGCAGGAACUGUUUGGAGCGGACCAAAGGCCUUGGGUGAAGUUGUUGGUUCUGCCGGCAGCCUCAGGUGUCCUGGCUCUGCCCCAGACAGGUAACUGAGAGGACUCGUAUAGCGAGCAAUGCUCUGUUGUGGUUCUCAUAUCUCUGCCGAGUAGGUCAGCGGCCCCUCUGACCCGUCUUGAAACACGGACC